UACGUAGGGGGCAAGCGUUGUCCGGAUUUAUUGGGCGUAAAGAGCGUGUAGGCGGCCAAGUAGGUCUGCUGUGAAAACUCGAGGCUCAACCUCGAGCUGUCGGCGGAAACCACUUGGCUAGAGUCCGGAAGAGGAGAGUGGAAUUCCUGGUGUAGCGGUGAAAUGCGCAGAUAUCAGGAAGAACACCCGUGGCGAAGGCGGCUCUCUGGGACGGUACUGACGCUGAGACGCGAAAGCGUGGGGAGCGAACAGG
This 253-nucleotide ribosomal RNA is filed under the name uncultured bacterium. RNAcentral describes it as "partial 16S ribosomal RNA". It matches the Rfam family "Bacterial small subunit ribosomal RNA", at positions 524 to 776 of the family's 1533-position model. The record is from RNAcentral.